UACGAAGGGGGCUAGCGUUGUUCGGAUUUACUGGGCGUAAAGCGCACGUAGGCGGAUUGUUAAGUGAGAGGUGAAAUCCCGGAGCUCAACUCCGGAACUGCCUUUCAUACUGGCAAUCUAGAGUCCGGAAGAGGUAAGUGGAACUCCUAGUGUAGAGGUGGAAUUCGUAGAUAUUAGGAAGAACACCAGUGGCGAAGGCGGCUUACUGGACAAGUAUUGACGCUGAGGUGCGAAAGCGUGGGGAGCAAACAGG
This 253-nucleotide ribosomal RNA is filed under the name uncultured bacterium. Its description in RNAcentral is "partial 16S ribosomal RNA". It matches the Rfam family "Bacterial small subunit ribosomal RNA", at positions 524 to 776 of the family's 1533-position model. The record is from RNAcentral.